Molecule: unclassified non-coding RNA, 240 nt
Filed under: Hevea brasiliensis (rubber tree)
Lineage: Eukaryota; Viridiplantae; Streptophyta; Magnoliopsida; Malpighiales; Euphorbiaceae
Source: RNAcentral
UGCCGGUAUGAUGCAUACCUUUUGCUUAUUGUUUUUUGGAUGGGUUAUUUACUUGAAGCACCUAUUUUUUAUAAGAUCAAGUAAGCUCAACCACUUGAUCUUGGCUUUUGAGAGCCAGACCCAAUCCCGUUGUUCUGCUGCUAGACAGCCAGCUUUAUGGUUCAAUUUCACUUAAAAUAUGUGAAAAUUCAAAAUACAUGUGUGAUUAAUGAAAUUUCAUUCAAGUGUGGGUUUCUGUUG